Molecule: transfer RNA, 75 nt
Filed under: archaeon
Lineage: Archaea
Also listed under: 2 other names
Description: tRNA-Ala
Rfam family: tRNA
About the family: Transfer RNA (tRNA) molecules are approximately 80 nucleotides in length.
Source: RNAcentral
GGGCUCGUAGCUCAGCCCGGCUAGAGCGCCUGCUUUGCAAGCAGGAGGCCGCGUGUUCAAAUCACGCCGAGUCCA